This 499-nucleotide ribosomal RNA is filed under the name uncultured Glomeromycotina. RNAcentral's name for it is "partial small subunit ribosomal RNA". It matches the Rfam family "Eukaryotic small subunit ribosomal RNA", at positions 591 to 1092 of the family's 1831-position model. Lineage: Eukaryota; Fungi; Glomeromycota. The record is from RNAcentral.
CCAAUAGCGUAUAUUAAAGUUGUUGCAGUUAAAAAGCUCGUAGUUGAAUUUCGGGACCAAUUUGUUGGUCGUGCCUCGGUACGUACUGGUAUUAUUGGUUUCUCCCUUCUGAAGAACCUUGAUGUCAUUAAUUUGGUGUCUUGGGGAAUCAGGACUGUUACUUUGAAAAAAUUAGAGUGUUUAAAGCAGGCAUACGCUUGAAUACAUUAGCAUGGAAUAAUGAAAUAGGACGUUUGAUUCUAUUUUGUUGGUUUCUAGGAUCGACGUAAUGAUUAAUAGGGAUAGUUGGGGGCAUUAGUAUUCAAUUGUCAGAGGUGAAAUUCUUGGAUUUAUUGAAGACUAACUACUGCGAAAGCAUUUGCCAAGGAUGUUUUCAUUAAUCAAGAACGAAAGUUAGGGGAUCGAAGACGAUCAGAUACCGUCGUAGUCUUAACCAUAAACUAUGCCGACUAGGGAUCGGAUGAUGUUAAUUUUUUAAUGACUCAUUCGGCGCCUUACG